ACCUAAAAAGCUAGCCCAACCCCCUAGAAAACAACCCACUUUAGAAUAGCCCCCCGCAUAAUCAAGCAACAAAACAUUUUACCCCCUUAGUAAUGGGCGACAAAAAAG
This 108-nucleotide ribosomal RNA is filed under the name Hygophum proximum (lantern fish). Its description in RNAcentral is "partial 16S ribosomal RNA". The record is from RNAcentral. Lineage: Eukaryota; Metazoa; Chordata; Actinopteri; Myctophiformes; Myctophidae.